RNAcentral lists this small RNA (630 nucleotides) under Pan troglodytes (chimpanzee). RNAcentral describes it as "processed transcript". The record is from RNAcentral. Lineage: Eukaryota; Metazoa; Chordata; Mammalia; Primates; Hominidae.
GACGUGGUCCCAGCCGGGUGUCCUGACGCUCGGGGUUCAGGACAAGGGCACACAACUGGUUCCGUUAAGCCCCUCUCUCGCUCAGACGCCAUGGAGCUGGAUCUGUCUCCACCUCAUCUUAGCAGCUCUCCGGAAGACCUUUGCCCAGCCCCUGGGACCCCUCCUGGGACUCCCCGGCCCCCUGAUACCCCUCUGCCUGAGGAGGUAAAGAGGUCCCAGCCUCUCCUCAUCCCAACCACCGGCAGGAAACUUCGAGAGGAGGAGAGGCGUGCCACCUCCCUCCCCUCUAUCCCCAACCCCUUCCCUGAGCUCUGCAGUCCUCCCUCACAGAGCCCCAUUCUCGGGGGCCCCUCCAGUGCAAGGGGGCUGCUCCCCCGCGAUGCCAGCCGCCCCCAUAGCGGGGUUUGGAGGACCACGAGUCCGUGGUGGAAGUGCAGGCUGCCUGGCCCGUGGGCGGAGAUAGCCGCUUCGUCUUCCGGAAAAACUUCGCCAAGUACGAACUGUUCAAGAGCUCCCCACACUCCCUGUUCCCAGAAAAAAUGGUCUCCAGCUGUCUCGAUGCACACACUGGUAUAUCCCAUGAAGACCUCAUCCAGAACUUCCUGAAUGCUGGCAGCUUUCCUGAGAUCC